RNAcentral lists this long non-coding RNA (2600 nucleotides) under Sorghum bicolor (sorghum). RNAcentral describes it as "long non-coding RNA (SBIC_LNC004662)". The record is from RNAcentral. Lineage: Eukaryota; Viridiplantae; Streptophyta; Magnoliopsida; Poales; Poaceae.
GGAUGUUACAGUCCACCCACCUUACAGGAAUCUCGUCCCCGAGAUUUAGGCGUUGCUCGGUCGGUGAAGAAACGCGGGUGUCGUUCCCAAAGCUUUUCUUACUUCUGAGUUGUUUUGCUAUCAGAAAGAUGGCUCCACAAACCUUUUCCAUGUGGGGGCGAGUCAUGUUCAGGAUGUAUCCAAGGCUCACUCGCUGGUGUUGGGUAUCCAAGAAUCGCACCAGGUUGAUGAACAUCUGGCUCUCUAGGAGUGCAUGGCAGGCUUAAACAUAGCUAGGGUUGUUGGCUUUCAAUAGCUGUUUUUCGUGCAUCACUCUUUGCAAAAAGCUUUUGAAAGGAAUGUUUUUCGGAAAAAAAAAACAGGUUUCAUAAAUGGAGUGAAAGCGAUUUUACAAAGUCAAAUGGAUUUUAAAGAGAGCUCAAACUGAAAAUAGCUUUUGGAAAGGGUUGAAAUCAGCGUAAAUUUUGAAAACCAAGUUUAUUUAUUUUAUUAUAAUUAUUAUUUUAAGAUUUUUGAUGUAAAAGAUUUCAAAUCAAGAGACUUUGAAACUCUUUUAGUUUUCUAAAUGAGGCGUUGCUCUCUUUUAUUUGAACUAAACAAACUAGUUUUGAAAAUGAUUAGAAAUCAUUUCUCUCUUUUGAAAGAUAAAGCUUUAACAACAAUAACAUUUUCUUUCAAAACUUGUAAGUUCAUUUUGUUUUUGCUAAAUUUUUUUUUUUUUUUUGGAAGGCCGCAAACAAAAUUUUUUUUUUUUGCAAUGGUUUUUGUUUAAUAAAUCACUGGCAAUUCCUUUUUCUUUUUAAGAGAAGGUUGAUUUUUAAAAAGGAAUUUGGCUCUCGAGAUAAAAUCAAAGACCUUUAAAACAAAGCCGAGCCAAAUCUUUGGUUUGAAAACCACUUUGUUGUUGAAAAUCAAAACUUUUGUUUUUCUGAAGCGAUUUUGGUCAUACCUUUUGAAAGAUAACUUAAAUCAUUUCAUAAAUAGAGUUUGAAUAAAAUUGAGUUGAGAAAAGGGUUAAAAUGGCUCUCUUUGUGAAAAUGAAAGAUAUUAAGAGAGUUUUGAAACACUUUUCCUUUUGAAACAAGGAUGCUUUUGUUAGAGAGGGGACAUUUUAACCAAAAGGAGAGAAAAUUUUGAAGACAGGUUCAUUUUGGAAGCCAAAAACAGUUUUGAAAUAGGCGAGCAUCACAUGAUGCAACAGCUUUACCUAACUUUUAACUUUGUUAGUCAGGGCCACCUAUCUAGUCUCGGGACGGUCUUAGGUUUAGCCGACUAGGUUGGACGGAAUCCAGAGUUUUUCUCGCAUAAAACAGGUUCUAUGACUUACACCCAGACAACAAGAAGCAGAAGAAACGCAACAACAUAAGAUCCAAGCACUCAAACAGCAUUACAACUCCUAAUGCAUAGUGUUGACUUGAGGCGACUCACAGACCUUCAAAGUCUCACACAACUAUCGAUCUAGCGUGGGCGGGUAUGGGAAAAGAUUCCAACGGUCAACUUUAUGAAACAGGGAGGUCAGUUAGCAGCAGAAUUCAAGGCGGAGGGGGGAAAAACAAGUGUUAGCAUCUAUAACUCUACAAAAGAUAGAAUGUUUGGCUUCUAAACUAGUGUUUGGUCCUAAAGGUCUCGUCCUAGGGUCAAGUAUGGCUCUGAUACCAACUGAAACGACCUAGAUUCUUCCACAAAGGGAAAAAUCCACAGAUUCGAAUUAUAAUGUGAUAAUUCAAAAAUUGAACCAUCGCAUUAUCAUAUAUCAGCUGUUAUCGUAGUCAUACAUCGUGAGAAACAAGAUUACAACACAUUUACUUUACAACUCUUGGUCAACAAGCCUAUUACAUCGUUUUUCUAGCGAGAACACACGCGAGUCUUUAUCAGAGUCGAUGUAGCGCGUCAGCGGUGAAGGCUCCUCCUUCACGGACAAUCAUCAGAGUCGACGUAGUUUAUCAGCGGGCGUAGCCUUCAUCUCUGAACCAAACUUGAGCGCAGGAGCGAGACCACCUAAUCCUUCUAUUCUCCGUAGUUAUCAUCAUAGACCACAUCCAAAACCUGCUAAACAAUUUUCAGUACGAUUUGUACUGGCCACUGGCUCCCACCCUAUGCUUUUGCGUAAGCUUUGUGGUAAGUGGAAUGCAAAGGGUAGAUCAAGAGGCCUAUAUAUAUGGCUGUAGUCUUUCCUAUGCAAGUUCAUCAAUAUUUAAUAAUAAUAAUUCAUCAAGUUUUAUUCCAUCUCAUCCACACAUCCAUCCAUCCAUCCCAUCACACGCAUCUCACCACACUCUCACUCUCUAGGCGGCAAGUACGACUCCCGCUCGUGCCUUGCCUCAACGGCCAACGCCGGAUCCAACACAAACCCAGGGGAAGGUAGAAAGGACUCCUCUCACUAGUCAAGCGAAGCGGAACAUAGGAAAGGUCCAUAGCCGAGAAGACGGCAUAUGUAUCGAUCGAUCAACCAUAACUCUGCAGAGGUUUACACUAACCACAAGAUCACCAUCAUCGACGAACCGGCUCGUCUAGGCUGAUACCGGGCUGCCUUCCAACUAAAUACGAUGCCACCCUACCACUCAGGACUGGGGCCAUACCGGAGUACCACCGGCAUGCUG